AUGGUCCCGCAAAUAGAAAACUGGUGUGUUCCCUUGUCAACAAGCUGUGCUUACUCACUCGUUCCACUCUGUGCCCCCAGGACGACCUUACUGACAAGAAGAGGGAAUAAAACUUCCAUCCUCCCGGGGAUCUCGAUGUGCAGAAGCCUAAUUGCAGAGGGCCAGAACGUCGAGCGCCAACUGAAAGGAAACCCCGGGGAUUUUUUGACAGCUCAGAAAGCUGUUUCGGGUUGCUGCUCAAGCCUCUCCUGCUCCAGGUGGUCAACGGCGCCUUGGAAGGCAAAGUAACGGAAGGGUAGUUUGGAACCGCUCCUCUUCAACGGCAGGACCCCGCCUAGGUUGUCUGUCUGCACGGUAAGCCCUCUCUAGACCCUAAGCACGUUACGGGCAGGGAACGUGCCUGCUAAUUCUGUCGUCCUCCUCCAAGUCCUUAGCACAGGAAUAAUGAUAGCAAUAACAAUAGCAUCUCUUAAGCGCUAACUGUUCUAAGCACUGGGGUGGGUACAAGUGAAUCAGGUUGGACCCAGUCCCUGUCCCACAUGGACCUCACAGUCUUAAUCCCCAUUUUGCAGAUGAGGUAACUGAGGCCCAGGGAAGUGAAGCGACUUGUCCAAGGUCGCACAACAUCCCGGGAUGAGAGGCCGGGUCCUUCCGACUCCCAGGCCCGUGCUCUAUCCACUGGGCCACGCAUCGUCCCUCGUCACGGGCAGGGAACGGGUCUGCCCGUCUGUUCUGUCAUACCGUCCCAAGUGCUUAGUGCAGUGUCCCUCACAGAGGAAGCGCCCAAUAAAUACGGUUGAUUGAUUUGGCCUGUACUCUGGCGCAGCGCCCCCGGCAGCCAUGCGGCAGAGCUGCAGAAAACCGACCUUGGCCCAGGGCCUCGUGGUGAGGUUAGUGGCUCUCGGGGCCAACCUAGUGGGGUUUUGGGGUCCCCAGAGCCAACAGGGAGGCUGUGGCUUCUCAUCUGGGGGUGUGGGGCUGGGCAGGAGCCCCUCAGCCCCCGUCAGGCCCGCCUCAGCUUGGUCCCGGUCCUGGGAUUGACCCUGUCCCGGCCACUACCGUGGAGAGAGGACGUAGCUGAAGCUUUCAUCAUAAUCGCCUCUGAAGUCAGACCACUGCUACGUCCCAGGGCGCCUGGCGUUUGUACUUUCCCUUCUUCUUUUACAGGGCUCGGAAACGUACUUGCUAAAUGCUUCCACGGACCAAGUCUUCGAUCCUGGCCAGCUGGAGGGGCAAAGCGACAGGGAUCUGCCAGCGGUGCUGGAAAUCUGAUUUUCAUAAAAGAGUAAGUCACUCCUGUUGUCGGCUCGGAGGAGGAACGGGAAAAGA
Molecule: long non-coding RNA, 1329 nt
Filed under: Ornithorhynchus anatinus (platypus)
Lineage: Eukaryota; Metazoa; Chordata; Mammalia; Monotremata; Ornithorhynchidae
Description: lncRNA (ENSOANG00000038072.1)
Source: RNAcentral